Molecule: long non-coding RNA, 206 nt
Filed under: Solanum tuberosum (potato)
Lineage: Eukaryota; Viridiplantae; Streptophyta; Magnoliopsida; Solanales; Solanaceae
Description: long non-coding RNA (STUB_LNC004248)
Source: RNAcentral
ACAUUCUUCAUGUGCCAAAAAAAUUAGUUGCGGCACAAAGGUGUAGUUUUUCGACUAAUUGAUAUUCUGUCGAAUCUAUAUUAGUUAUUCAUCUUAUUAUAAAUAAUUGUCAAAACUUACUUGUUAAAUUAUAAUUUCUUUUUCUAUUUUACUAUUACAAUUAAUUAAAUUUGUAAGGUUUCAAAAAAAGUUUUUUAGCAAUAAAU